Passer domesticus (house sparrow) is the source of this 309-nucleotide long non-coding RNA. RefSeq lists it as uncharacterized. The record is from RefSeq and is a predicted model, not a curated record. The transcript has 3 exons. NCBI's taxonomy places the organism in Eukaryota, Metazoa, Chordata, Aves, Passeriformes, Passeridae.
AUCCAGAGUCCUAAACUGAAGAGCCUCUUGACCCAGUCCUAGGCAAGGUCCUUGAAACUGCAUUCUGUGUGGAUGGUGUGGUCUUCUGAAGUCCUAACUGUCCAGCUUGACUUUGGGAGAGAUACGUGCUCAUCUGCAUUUCCUGUGCCUCAGAACUAGACAGAAACAACUGCUUAUUCUGUAUGUGUGUCUUGUUUCCUUGGGAGAAUUCAGGACAAAAGUGAAAAGCAAAGUUAAUGCAGAUCUGCUUUUGCAAAGUCCUUCUCAUUCUCAGUGCUGAGACACUACUCUCAUGAAGGUAUCAUCGGG